Molecule: small nuclear RNA, 110 nt
Organism: Hyaena hyaena (striped hyena)
Lineage: Eukaryota; Metazoa; Chordata; Mammalia; Carnivora; Hyaenidae
Source: RefSeq, a predicted model, not a curated record
GUGCUGUUCCCUUUGGCAGCACACAUACUAAAAUUGGACCGAUAUAGAGAAGGUUAGCAUGGCCCCUGUGUCAGGGUGACAUUCAAAUUCCUGAAGUGUUCCAUAUUUUU